This 22-nucleotide microRNA is filed under the name Equus caballus (horse). RNAcentral describes it as "eca-miR-2114". Lineage: Eukaryota; Metazoa; Chordata; Mammalia; Perissodactyla; Equidae. The record is from miRBase by way of RNAcentral.
AGCCUCAAGCAAGGGACUUUGA